AAAAAAUUCAGACAACCGGAGCAAGUACUCCACUCGCUCACCACAGAAGCGGAUAACUCCUCUCUCCCUCACAGAACAUGACUGCCCCUCUUCCGCUGCAUCCCCACCGACGGCGGGACUAACACCCACCCGUGGCCGGUCCAUGCGGCCGCCCUUCCCCAGCCACCGCGCCAGUCGCUGGUCUAUGCCCCACCCUCCCGCCGCCGCGCCGGUCCAUGGCGGCCGCCAUUCCCUUACCUCUCUUCCCGUAGCCUACGACUUCCACCUCGCCUCCUGUUUCCCCAGCGCUCUCCAGCCCCACGACGAACCCGUUCGUCGACACCAGUCUGCUCCGCAGCCGCGGCUCCGCUCCGGCCGCCAACAGAUCGUCGACACUGGCCACCGCGCGGCUUUGGAGGGAUCCGACAGAGGCUCCCGAAGUGGAUGCAUGCUGGAUGCCCCUCCCCACCUCGACUGCGGCUGGAGGAGGCCGUCGAUGCCUCCUACUUCGAGCCGUCCCAGUGGGCUACCACCGCUACCCGACAACAAGGAGCACCGCCGCGUCCGUCCACGGGUACCCCUGCUCGGCAUACUUCGUAGAGGAUGUUCUACAAGCAGCCUUGCCUGGGAAGAAAACGUACAGCAUGGGCAACUUGAGCAUGGAGAAGAAAAACCCAGUCCAGUUAUUUCACUUCCUUGGCCACAACCCUCAAAGAACUAUAAAAAAUAGAAUGACUAUGCCCUGAAUAGAUUCAUUUACAUGCUAAGUCUAACUAUGUCCUGAAUAGAUUCAUUUACAUGCUAAGUUGAUACAGAUUCAUCCAUAGAGCCUGAAUGUUAAUUUUAUUCAUUCAGUCAUGCAGAUUCGAAUACUAUACUGUUAAAACAAUAUGAUGGAGGGCUCCAGUUUGUUACAGAUUCAAAUAUCCAUGUCAUUAAAUUUUUAUACAUUGUGCACAAGUCACUACUGUAAAUUCUGAAAGCCAACUUUUUCGACACCAGGAGCAGGAGAUAGGGUGCAUGAUUCAGUUAGAAAAACAGAUAGGGUGCACGAACGGCUUAUAGAAUUUGUAGCAUUUUGCUGUGCAACUGCUUAUUAUUUUGUCAUAUUCUUGGCUAUUCUCAAACGUCUAAUCAUGAGUAAUGCUGCAACGGGUCAAAGGAAGAAGUCUGACCUGAAGAAAUGGACAGAGGAAUCACAGAUGCGUGUGGCCGGCUUGUUCAGGGGAUGCGGUGGACGCGGGUGCCGGGGCAAGCUCUAUCUCCUAGGCACCGGCGAUCUCGCGGGCGCGGCGGCAGGGCCGGUACCGGGGCAGGCUCUAUCUCCUGGGCACUAGCGAUCUUGCAGGAUGGAUGCCACGCUGUGAGCGACAACAAUCGGCGAUGGCGAUCCUGCAGGGAGGCAAUGGAGCGGCGAGAUCUCCGUGCAGGGGGCGUGGGAAUGGUAGUUCCAAUACUCCUCUCCUGGUGAAGCACGGUCAGUCAUUGGAAAUUGAUAAGUGUACACCAUAAAGGUAUUAGAUCACUAAGAUCUGUUAGAUUGAGAAGUGUGGGCCUAAUCGUGUGGUGCUUAUUGAUCUGUGCGGGGGUGUGGGACUAAUUGUAGGGUGCACAUAGGAAAAUUCUUGUUGGAUUGUUUAAUAGUAGUGUAGAUACCCAACUUGGAUGCUCAUCAUUCUAGGACCAAAUUUAUAACCAUAACAAAUACCAUGCUGCUCUGAAA
Molecule: ribosomal RNA, 1702 nt
Filed under: Triticum aestivum (bread wheat)
Lineage: Eukaryota; Viridiplantae; Streptophyta; Magnoliopsida; Poales; Poaceae
Description: partial small subunit ribosomal RNA
Source: RNAcentral